This 203-nucleotide unclassified non-coding RNA is filed under the name Hevea brasiliensis (rubber tree). The record is from RNAcentral. Lineage: Eukaryota; Viridiplantae; Streptophyta; Magnoliopsida; Malpighiales; Euphorbiaceae.
GGAUGCAUUAAGAAACUAAACAUUUAUGUUAUUCUUUUUUAAUUAUAAAGUUCUCUCAUAAACUAACUUUCUCCAUCUCCCUCUUCAGAGCAUUAGCUCUCACCAAGCUCCCAAUGGUAUUCACAGCCAAUUUCAAGUCAUCCAAUGGAUUCCCAGGCACCACUCUCUUAUACAAGUAACUGUCGAAUGUCAUCUUCUGCACA